CUAGCCGUAAACGAUGGAUACUAGGCGUUGCGAGUAUCGACCCUCACAGUGUCGUAGCUAACGCGUUAAGUAUCCCGCCUGGGGAGUACGCGCGCAAGCGUGAAACUCAAAGGAAUUGACGGGGGCCCGCACAAGCGGUGGAGUAUGUGGUUUAAUUCGAUGCAACGCGAAGAACCUUACCAGGACUUGACAUGUCGCGAAUCUCAGGGAAACUUGAGAGUGCCUUCGGGAGCGCGAACACAGGUGGUGC
This 250-nucleotide ribosomal RNA is filed under the name uncultured Chroococcidiopsis sp. RNAcentral's name for it is "partial 16S ribosomal RNA". It matches the Rfam family "Bacterial small subunit ribosomal RNA", at positions 796 to 1044 of the family's 1533-position model. The record is from RNAcentral. Lineage: Bacteria; Bacillati; Cyanobacteriota; Cyanophyceae; Chroococcidiopsidales; Chroococcidiopsidaceae.